Molecule: ribosomal RNA, 496 nt
Filed under: uncultured bacterium
Lineage: Bacteria
Description: partial 16S ribosomal RNA
Rfam family: Bacterial small subunit ribosomal RNA
Source: RNAcentral
AUGAACGCUGGCGGCGUGCCUAAUACAUGCAAGUCGCGCGAACAGACGAGGAGCUUGCUCCUCUGACGUUAGCGGCGGACGGGUGAGUAACACGUGGAUAACCUACCUAUAAGACUGGGAUAACUUCGGGAAGCCGGAGCUAAUACCGGAUAAUAUAUUGAACCGCAUGGUUCAAUAGUGAAAGACGGUUUUGCUGUCACUUAUAGAUGGAUCCGCGCCGCAUUAGCUAGUUGGUAAGGUAACGGCUUACCAAGGCAACGAUGCGUAGCCGACCUGAGAGGGUGAUCGGCCACACUGGAACUGAGACACGGUCCAGACUCCUACGGGAGGCAGCAGUAGGGAAUCUUCCGCAAUGGGCGAAAGCCUGACGGAGCAACGCCGCGUGAGUGAUGAAGGUCUUCGGAUCGUAAAACUCUGUUAUUAGGGAAGAACAAAUGUGUAAGUAACUAUGCACGUCUUGACGGUACCUAAUCAGAAAGCCACGGCUAACUACGUG